This 1350-nucleotide ribosomal RNA is filed under the name uncultured bacterium. RNAcentral's name for it is "bacterial SSU rRNA". It matches the Rfam family "Bacterial small subunit ribosomal RNA", at positions 28 to 1381 of the family's 1533-position model. The record is from RNAcentral.
AUUGAACGCUGGCGGCAUGCUUUACACAUGCAAGUCGAACGGCAGCGCGGGGUAACCUGGCGGCGAGUGGCGAACGGGUGAGUAAUAUAUCGGAACGUACCCGAGAGUGGGGGAUAACGUAGCGAAAGUUACGCUAAUACCGCAUACGAUCUAUGGAUGAAAGUGGGGGAUCGCAAGACCUCAUGCUCCUGGAGCGGCCGAUAUCUGAUUAGCUAGUUGGUGAGGUAAAGGCUCACCAAGGCGACGAUCAGUAGCUGGUCUGAGAGGACGACCAGCCACACUGGGACUGAGACACGGUCCAGACUCCUACGGGAGGCAGCAGUGGGGAAUUUUGGACAAUGGGCGCAAGCCUGAUCCAGCAAUGCCGCGUGAGUGAAGAAGGCCUUCGGGUUGUAAAGCUCUUUUGUCAGGGAAGAAACGGUUGGGGCUAAUAUCCCCGGCUAAUGACGGUACCUGAAGAAUAAGCACCGGCUAACUACGUGCCAGCAGCCGCGGUAAUACGUAGGGUGCAAGCGUUAAUCGGAAUUACUGGGCGUAAAGCGUGCGCAGGCGGUUUUGUAAGUCUGUCGUGAAAGCCCCGGGCUCAACCUGGGAAUUGCGAUGGAGACUGCAAGGCUUGAAUCUGGCAGAGGGGGGUAGAAUUCCACGUGUAGCAGUGAAAUGCGUAGAGAUGUGGAGGAACACCGAUGGCGAAGGCAGCCCCCUGGGUCAAGAUUGACGCUCAUGCACGAAAGCGUGGGGAGCAAACAGGAUUAGAUACCCUGGUAGUCCACGCCCUAAACGAUGUCUACUAGUUGUCGGGUCUUAAUUGACUUGGUAACGCAGCUAACGCGUGAAGUAGACCGCCUGGGGAGUACGGUCGCAAGAUUAAAACUCAAAGGAAUUGACGGGGACCCGCACAAGCGGUGGAUGAUGUGGAUUAAUUCGAUGCAACGCGAAAAACCUUACCUACCCUUGACAUGUCAGGAACCUCCGAGAGAUUGGAGGGUGCUCGAAAGAGAACCUGAACACAGGUGCUGCAUGGCUGUCGUCAGCUCGUGUCGUGAGAUGUUGGGUUAAGUCCCGCAACGAGCGCAACCCUUGUCAUUAGUUGCUACGAAAGGGCACUCUAAUGAGACUGCCGGUGACAAACCGGAGGAAGGUGGGGAUGACGUCAAGUCCUCAUGGCCCUUAUGGGUAGGGCUUCACACGUCAUACAAUGGUACAUACAGAGGGCCGCCAACCCGCGAGGGGGAGCUAAUCCCAGAAAGUGUAUCGUAGUCCGGAUCGCAGUCUGCAACUCGACUGCGUGAAGUUGGAAUCGCUAGUAAUCGCGGAUCAGCAUGCCGCGGUGAAUACGUUCCCGGGUCU